Molecule: ribosomal RNA, 2926 nt
Filed under: Klebsiella oxytoca
Lineage: Bacteria; Pseudomonadati; Pseudomonadota; Gammaproteobacteria; Enterobacterales; Enterobacteriaceae
Description: 23S ribosomal RNA
Rfam family: Bacterial large subunit ribosomal RNA
Source: RNAcentral
GGGUUGUGAGGUUAAGCGACUAAGCGUACACGGUGGAUGCCCUGGCAGUCAGAGGCGAUGAAGGACGUGCUAAUCUGCGAAAAGCGUCGGUAAGGUGAUAUGAACCGUUAUAACCGGCGAUGUCCGAAUGGGGAAACCCAGUGCAAUUCGUUGCACUAUCGUUAACUGAAUACAUAGGUUAACGAGGCGAACCGGGGGAACUGAAACAUCUAAGUACCCCGAGGAAAAGAAAUCAACCGAGAUUCCCCCAGUAGCGGCGAGCGAACGGGGAGCAGCCCGGAGUCUGAAUCAGCUUGUGUGUUAGUGGAAGCGUCUGGAAAGUCGCAGGGUACAGGGUGAUACUCCCGUACACUAAAACACACAGGUUGUGAACUCGAAGAGUAGGGCGGGACACGUGGUAUCCUGUCUGAAUAUGGGGGGACCAUCCUCCAAGGCUAAAUACUCCUGACUGACCGAUAGUGAACCAGUACCGUGAGGGAAAGGCGAAAAGAACCCCGGCGAGGGGAGUGAAAAAGAACCUGAAACCGUGUACGUACAAGCAGUAGGAGCCCACUAGUUGGGUGACUGCGUACCUUUUGUAUAAUGGGUCAGCGACUUAUAUUCUGUAGCAAGGUUAACCGUAUAGGGGAGCCGCAGGGAAACCGAGUCUUAACUGGGCGUUAAGUUGCAGGGUAUAGACCCGAAACCCGGUGAUCUAGCCAUGGGCAGGUUGAAGGUUGGGUAACACUAACUGGAGGACCGAACCGACUAAUGUUGAAAAAUUAGCGGAUGACUUGUGGCUGGGGGUGAAAGGCCAAUCAAACCGGGAGAUAGCUGGUUCUCCCCGAAAGCUAUUUAGGUAGCGCCUCGUGAAUUCAUCUUCGGGGGUAGAGCACUGUUUCGGCUAGGGGGUCAUCCCGACUUACCAACCCGAUGCAAACUACGAAUACCGAAGAAUGUUAUCACGGGAGACACACGGCGGGUGCUAACGUCCGUCGUGAAGAGGGAAACAACCCAGACCGCCAGCUAAGGUCCCAAAGUCAUGGUUAAGUGGGAAACGAUGUGGGAAGGCCCAGACAGCCAGGAUGUUGGCUUAGAAGCAGCCAUCAUUUAAAGAAAGCGUAAUAGCUCACUGGUCGAGUCGGCCUGCGCGGAAGAUGUAACGGGGCUAAACCAUGCACCGAAGCUGCGGCAGCGACACUAUGUGUUGUUGGGUAGGGGAGCGUUCUGUAAGCCGUUGAAGGUGGCCUGUGAGGGUUGCUGGAGGUAUCAGAAGUGCGAAUGCUGACAUAAGUAACGAUAAUGCGGGUGAAAAACCCGCACGCCGGAAGACCAAGGGUUCCUGUCCAACGUUAAUCGGGGCAGGGUGAGUCGACCCCUAAGGCGAGGCCGAAAGGCGUAGUCGAUGGGAAACAGGUUAAUAUUCCUGUACUUGGUGUUACUGCGAAGGGGGACGGAGAAGGCUAUGUUGGCCGGGCGACGGUUGUCCCGGUUUAAGCAUGUAGGCGGAUGUUCCAGGUAAAUCCGGAACGUCACUAACGCUGAGGUGUGAUGACGAGGCACUACGGUGCUGAAGUGACAAAUGCCCUGCUUCCAGGAAAAGCCUCUAAGCAUCAGGUAACAUCAAAUCGUACCCCAAACCGACACAGGUGGUCAGGUAGAGAAUACCAAGGCGCUUGAGAGAACUCGGGUGAAGGAACUAGGCAAAAUGGUGCCGUAACUUCGGGAGAAGGCACGCUGAUGGUAGGUGAAGUGACUUGCUCAUGGAGCUGAAAUCAGUCGAAGAUACCAGCUGGCUGCAACUGUUUAUUAAAAACACAGCACUGUGCAAACACGAAAGUGGACGUAUACGGUGUGACGCCUGCCCGGUGCCGGAAGGUUAAUUGAUGGGGUUAUCCUCGCGGAGAAGCUCUUGAUCGAAGCCCCGGUAAACGGCGGCCGUAACUAUAACGGUCCUAAGGUAGCGAAAUUCCUUGUCGGGUAAGUUCCGACCUGCACGAAUGGCGUAAUGAUGGCCAGGCUGUCUCCACCCGAGACUCAGUGAAAUUGAACUCGCUGUGAAGAUGCAGUGUACCCGCGGCAAGACGGAAAGACCCCGUGAACCUUUACUAUAGCUUGACACUGAACACUGGUCCUUGAUGUGUAGGAUAGGUGGGAGGCUUUGAAGUGUGGACGCCAGUCUGCAUGGAGCCAUCCUUGAAAUACCACCCUUUAAUGGCUGGUGUUCUAACGUGGGCCCGUAAUCCGGGUUGCGGACAGUGUCUGGUGGGUAGUUUGACUGGGGCGGUCUCCUCCUAAAGAGUAACGGAGGAGCACGAAGGUCAGCUAAUCCUGGUCGGACAUCAGGAGGUUAGUGCAAUGGCAUAAGCUGGCUUGACUGCGAGCGUGACGGCGCGAGCAGGUGCGAAAGCAGGUCAUAGUGAUCCGGUGGUUCUGAAUGGAAGGGCCAUCGCUCAACGGAUAAAAGGUACUCCGGGGAUAACAGGCUGAUACCGCCCAAGAGUUCAUAUCGACGGCGGUGUUUGGCACCUCGAUGUCGGCUCAUCACAUCCUGGGGCUGAAGUAGGUCCCAAGGGUAUGGCUGUUCGCCAUUUAAAGUGGUACGCGAGCUGGGUUUAGAACGUCGUGAGACAGUUCGGUCCCUAUCUGCCGUGGGCGCUGGAGAAUUGAGGGGGGCUGCUCCUAGUACGAGAGGACCGGAGUGGACGCAUCACUGGUGUUCGGGUUGUCAUGCCAAUGGCAUUGCCCGGUAGCUAAAUGCGGAAGAGAUAAGUGCUGAAAGCAUCUAAGCACGAAACUUGCCCCGAGAUGAGUUCUCCCUGACCCUUUAAGGGUCCUGAAGGAACGUUGAAGACGACGACGUUGAUAGGCCGGGUGUGUAAGCGCAGCGAUGCGUUGAGCUAACCGGUACUAAUGAACCGUGAGGCUUAACCUUACAACGCCGAAG